CCUACGGGGGGCAGCAGUGAGGAAUAUUGGUCAAUGGACGGAAGUCUGAACCAGCCAUGCCGCGUGCAGGAAGACGGCUCUAUGAGUUGUAAACUGCUUUUGUACAAGGGUAAACCGGAAUACGUGUAUGCAGCUGAAAGUACUGUACGAAUAAGGAUCGGCUAACUCCGUGCCAGCAGCCGCGGUAAUACGGAGGAUCCAAGCGUUAUCCGGAUUUAUUGGGGUUAAAGGGUGCGUAGGCGGAUUGAUAAGUUAGAGGUGAACUGUCCGCGCUUACCUCGGGAACUGCCUCUAAUACUGUUGAUCUAGAUGGUAGGUGCGGUAGGCGGAAUGUCUGGUGUAGCGGUGAAAUGCUU
RNAcentral lists this ribosomal RNA (356 nucleotides) under uncultured bacterium. RNAcentral's name for it is "partial 16S ribosomal RNA". It matches the Rfam family "Bacterial small subunit ribosomal RNA", at positions 338 to 691 of the family's 1533-position model. The record is from RNAcentral.